This 292-nucleotide ribosomal RNA is filed under the name uncultured bacterium. Its description in RNAcentral is "partial 16S ribosomal RNA". It matches the Rfam family "Bacterial small subunit ribosomal RNA", at positions 505 to 796 of the family's 1533-position model. The record is from RNAcentral.
GUGCCAGCCGCCGCGGUAAUACGUAGGGUGCAAGCGUUGUUCGGAAUCAUUGGGCGUAAAGCGCGUGUAGGUGGUUUAUUAAGUCGAUUGUGAAAUCCCUGGGCUCAACCGAGGAAGUGCAGUCGAAACUAAUUGACUAGAAGAUGGUAGAGGAAGGUGGAAUUCCAAGUGUAGAGGUGAAAUUCGUAGAUAUUUGGAGGAAUACCGGCGGCGAAGGCGGCCUUCUGGGCCAUUCUUGACACUGAGACGCGAAAGCGUGGGUAGCAAACAGGAUUAGAUACCCCGGUAGUCC